AUUGAACGCUGGCGGCAUGCCUUACACAUGCAAGUCGAACGGCAGCACGGGUGCUUGCACCUGGUGGCGAGUGGCGAACGGGUGAGUAAUACAUCGGAACGUACCUUAUCGUGGGGGAUAACGCAGCGAAAGCUGUGCUAAUACCGCAUACGCCCUGAGGGGGAAAGCGGGGGAUCGAAAGACCUCGCGCGAUUAGAGCGGCCGAUGCCUGAUUAGCUUGUUGGUGGGGUAAAAGCCCACCAAGGCGACGGUCAGUAGCUGGUCUGAGAGGACGAUCAGCCACACUGGGACUGAGACACGGCCCAGACUCCUACGGGAGGCAGCAGUGGGGAAUUUUGGACAAUGGGGGCAACCCUGAUCCGGCAAUGCCGCGUGAGUGAAGAAGGCCUUCGGGUUGUAAAGCUCUUUUGUCAGGGAAGAAACACCGGCUCUAACACAGUCCGGGAAUGACGGUACCUGAAGAAUAAGCACCGGCUAACUACGUGCCAGCCGCCGCGGUAA
Molecule: ribosomal RNA, 501 nt
Filed under: uncultured bacterium
Lineage: Bacteria
Description: partial 16S ribosomal RNA
Rfam family: Bacterial small subunit ribosomal RNA
Source: RNAcentral